This 75-nucleotide transfer RNA is filed under the name Albula goreensis. RNAcentral's name for it is "tRNA-OTHER". Lineage: Eukaryota; Metazoa; Chordata; Actinopteri; Albuliformes; Albulidae. The record is from RNAcentral.
GUAGCCUGUGGUCUAGUGGUUAAGAUACAUGACUGGGACCUUGAGGUUGGUGGUUCAAGCCCCAAUCCAGCCACA